GGAGGUAGUGACAAUAAAUCACAAUGCGGGACUAUUCGUCUUGCAAUUGGAUUGAGAACAAUGUACAACUCUUAUCGAUAAGCCAUUGGAGGGCAAGUCUGGUGCCAGCAGCCGCGGUAAUUCCAGCUCCAAUAGCGUAUAUUAACGUUGUUGCAGUUAAAAAGCUCGUAGUUGAAGUGUGGGUGGUGCCAUCUGUGGAGCUUCGGCUUUUCAGAUGCUCACUACCCCCUUCCAGUAUCCAGUAGUGGGUAUUCAGUUACUUACUAUUGUGUGUUGGUCAUUUACUGUGAGAAAAUUAGAGUGUUCAAAGCAGGCGUUUGCUUGAAUAGAUUAGCAUGGAAUAAUAAUUGAAGGCUUUCGUGUUCGAUUUGAUUGGUUUGUUCAUGGAAGCAAGGUUAAAAGGAACAGUUGGGGGUAUUCAUAUUCACUAGUUAGAGGUGAAAUUCUCGGAUUUAUGGAAGAUGAACAAGUGCGAAAGCA
RNAcentral lists this ribosomal RNA (480 nucleotides) under Blastocystis sp. RNAcentral describes it as "SSU rRNA". It matches the Rfam family "Eukaryotic small subunit ribosomal RNA", at positions 460 to 953 of the family's 1831-position model. The record is from RNAcentral. Lineage: Eukaryota; Bigyra; Opalinata; Blastocystidae.